Long non-coding RNA from Homo sapiens (human), 7549 nucleotides. RefSeq lists it as uncharacterized. The record is from RefSeq and is a predicted model, not a curated record. The transcript has 2 exons. Lineage: Eukaryota; Metazoa; Chordata; Mammalia; Primates; Hominidae.
CUCCUCCCCCCGCCCCUCCCCCAGUCUGUUUCCCUCCGUUCCUGUCACUUGUGACAGGAUGAGAAGAAACGCCUUUACCAGGAACUCGGUUCUGUUUUUGUCUAAAUGUAGAUCUUGGGCUAUUAAAAAGGGAGCUGCCUGAUUGCUUCGACAUUUAAUAAGUCAAUUAGAGUCCAUCCGUUUUGGAGGGAUCCGCUCUCCGGACCUCGAGGGGUCUGCCCCGCCCGAGCCCAGUCCCCAGGUUCGGGUCCCCAAGCCCUGGUCCCCGAGGCGGGGCGGCCAGGAGGCAGGAGAUGGGCGGGUGAGGACUCUCCACGGCCCCCGAGGUGCGCACAGCUGACCACCCGAGGAGGGGCAGGACCUGCACCCCCUCCCCAGACCCCCUGCGAGAGGACGAGCGAAGGUCCCUCCCCGGCAAGGACCGCGCCAUCUGCGCGCUCCUCUGCGCUGGACCCUCGGCCCGCGGGUCCCUCGCGCCCCGGCAGGGAACGCCCGCAGGAGGGCACUUGCCUCCCGGACUCGUCUUUAAGAAAGUUUGGCUCUUUGGCCGAAGCCCGGCACAUCUGUGAAAGUUCAGCAAUUUGCCUCUUUUAUUUUAUUCUUGUAAAAUGUAUUAUCAAUCAGUUGCGCACUUUCCCAUUCGAUUGGUGCUUUCUGGGCAAGAGCUGGACGUCUUCCAAGUCCGCGAUCUGUUUGGGAAAGGUGUUCUGAGUGCAAUCAGAGAGGCGGAGUGGGCGAGAAUUAAAGGCCUGCACCAUGAUCGGGGCAGUCGCAGGACCGCGGCGGGAAGGUGCUGGCCCAGGCGCACGUGAGCGCGGGCGGUGCGGGCGGAAGGCUCCGCGCCCCGAUCCCCCAGCUCCCGGAGAGGCCCCGUCUGCGCCCGUCCCCGCGUCCUUUCUCUCUUCCUGCACGGGGUCUGUCUCCUCAGGAGGAGAAAGUGUCCGGCAGAGCUGGGCGGGGAGGCAGCGUGGAGAGAGAAGAUAUGAAAUGUGCCGGUUCCGGACCCCGCCCCACACCCUUGGGAUCUGCGUUCUCUCCGCUCCCUUGAAAAACAGAUGGUUUGAUUUCACAGCGAGGCUUUUCUUUUUCUUUUUGCAAGCUACAUGACUGAAAUGUGAACAUUUCUGCUAAAAUACACUCAGGAAAAAGUAAAAUUUUAUGUCAAACAGACCUUAGGCACAUAAAAGGAGGCAUUUUUCGUUUCUCUCUUUCCCCUUCCCAUGUCCAAGAAGACACUUGAGUUCCACGGGCAAGAGCGACGCCUGGCGAUGGAACCGGCCCUCCCCGGCCCUGCUCCCGGUCCUGCUUGCCGGGCCCACCUCGCAGCUGGUGGACACCGCAGUUCCCAGAAAAAUAGAACCAUGAGAAGAUUUUACUGUUGUAAAAUAGCUUGGUUUUUUAAUGGGACAAAUGGAUUCCUUGAAUGAGCCCUUUCUACCAUCCAAGUGUGGGCCAAGACUUCCGCCCAGGUUAGUAGAGGUUUGGUGGAUAAUCAACAGCAACAGAGCUGAUGCUUGGUUGGUCUUUGGAUUAAUGAGAUCUUACAAUUAAGAGUCAGACAAUUUAUGUGUUCAUUUAUUUUUACAAAGUUCUCUGCCAAAAUUAUCUAGGUGCUGCUCAUUUUAUAUUAUAGAAACAAUUUUUACAGACUAACAAACUUAGAGUGUACCACCGAUUUGUUAAUCUUUAUUGAAUUUUUAAGUUAAUGGUAUUGUCAAGACGAACCCCUUGGAGUUCUCCAGUCAUCAGAAAUAGGUGUGCAGUCAUCCCUUGGUAUAGCGUGGGACUGGUUCCAGCAGAUACCGAAAUCCAGGCACAUUCACGUCUCACAGUGGGGCCUGUGGAACACGCAAAUACGGAAAGUUGCCCUCCCUCUGUGUGCGUUUCGCAUCCUCCAGCUGCUGUGUUUUCGACCCACGUUUGAAAAAAAAUAUGUAAGUGGACCCCUUCAAACCCGUGCUUUUCAAGCAGGAAGCCAAAAAGAAAAGAGAUACAAUUAGCAACAAACUAUAUUCUAGAAUUACUGGAAAAAUUUUUUUCUAGAUUUGAUUUAGUUUGGUUAUCUUUUUGAGAAAACUGUGUUGGAUCAUAGGAAGAAAACCGAGCAGAGGAAAAAAACCUGUAUUUAAUCUACCCUAACAGUACUAUAUAUAGGUCCUGAGAUGGGUGAGUUGAUUUUUUCAAUUCAUAAACAGGUUAAAGUUCUGAUGUUUUGACUGCAAUCAUUUUUUUUCUUCAUCCAGAGGGUACGUAUUUAAUUUUAGAUGAAUAUUAGCUGCCCUCAAAGACUUCUAAAAUACCUGUGUUAACCACAUGCUUUAAAAUGAAUUGUUAUAUUUUUCAAUCAUUAUGGCAAUCAUUUAACAAUCUAACGAAGUUUGUAUUGUAGAAAAAAAUCACCUUUCAUAAAGGAUAACAUCAUGUACUAUAAACAAAUAUUGCUUACUGUUUAAUAUUUACCAAUUCUGCUUUUUUAAGCUAUCAAAAUGCUAUUAGUGUGCUAGGCACGUACUAGACAGUGUUUAAAGCAUUUAGGAAGACAAGCUUUCUAACAGGAUUAAUUUUCCUAGUAUAAAUGUAAUAAAUAUAGACUCUUACAAGUGAUAAUGUAUGCAUGAUAUCUGCAGCUUAUUCUAGAUCAAUGAAGUACAGCAUUCUAUGUAACACUUCUCCCCUUCUAGGGAGGAAGAAGAUGAUUCCAAAAACAUGGUCAUCCACCCCUUCCCAUUCUUCAACACUGCUUUUGCAUCUGCAGAUGCACACGGCUAUGCAUGUUCAGGAGAGAAAUUAGGUGAAAGUUGUAUUUAAAGGGUUGGGAUAAGAUAGCAUGGCUGAUUUACUUUUUUAAAAAAUUUAUUGUUCCAGGCCAAGAUAAAGAGGACUUUUCAUGGGGAAAGGCUUAAAGGAAGUAUGGACUUUACGUUGUUCCUUCAAACUGGAUUUUAGUUAUAAAUUCUGAAACCACUGUGAUGCUUACUUGCCAUUUGGAGGCACCAAUCUGACAUCUUUUGAUGGAAGUAGUAAGAAUAAAUUUGAAAGAACACACCAAUCAUCAACAUAUCAGAAAAAUAUUAUCCAUGACAAUAUUUCAACAAAAUAUAGUCAUAGAUGCUGAGUAACAACACCAAUAUAUCUGCAUUCCAUCUGUUUUCUGCAGGAAAUCAGAUAUCCUGAUCAGAAGUGACACACACAAUGAUCUAGGUUCAUCACAGAGACAUCCAAAGUGUCAUAAAGGCACCACCUACCAAAGUGGGUUGUUGUUUGUUUCUAGGAUAAGCUAAGCACAGUGAUGGGGAUGCCUCCUGGAUAGAGGGAACUGCAUAUGCAAACUUCCAAGGAGGAGGCCCCAGAACCUCUUGGAUCUGCUGGGAAGACUGGGCUGUAGGAAGAGGGUGGGAGGAACAGAUGGAGAGUCACCUCACCUGAACUCCACUUUCUUUCAAGAAUGCAGCAUAGCGGACUGCAAAGGACGUGGGCUUCAAAGCCACAGAAAUGGGCUCAGGUUCUGAUUCCUGCUCACAUCUGUGUGAACCUGGGCAAGACAACUUCUUUGAGCCCAGUUUUUUCAUGUCGGAAAUGACAGGAGUACGUACAACCUCAGAGGUUUUAUAAACAUUAAAUAAGAUAAAGUAUGUUAACUUUUUAGUAUAGUUUAAAUUUCUUUUAACUGACCAAUUAUUGCUAUUACUGCCUUUCAGAGUGUCUGCUGUCAUAAUGGCCUCUUUUUUCCUGUAUUUUAUCCCUUACAAUAUGGCAUGAAAGAGAGCAUUAUCCAAUCCUAGAGAAUGUCUGGGGCAUCAGAAUUUGGUGACUUGUUCACAGCUGCAUAGAAAAUCUAUAGUUAGAAGUGGACUGAAAUAUCCUGAAUUAGUAAGUUUCCAUGUGACCAGCACUCAGAACAGUGGGUGAGGGCUCAGUCCAGUGGAGUAGGAUUCAGACCUGUGGGUGAGGGCCCCUGCUGCUGCCCCAGGCCCAGUGCCUGUGCUGUUAGGAUGGUAUAUAAGUGUGGUUGGCUAGGAUAUACUAGGGCUAUGAAUUCAUAAGAACAGUCUAUAUUUUGCUCACCUGACCCUUCCUUAAAACCGUGGGGACAUUUCAAGACUGCUGUCUCUGAUAUUUUUGCCACUAUUAUAAUGCAGUCCAUUAGGCAAAGAGUGCUUGAGACACUGUCUUAGUCCAUGUGUGCUCCUAGAACAAUAUAUCAUACACAGGUAGUUUAUAAACAACAGGAACAUAUUCCUCACAGUUCUGGAGGCUGGCAGUCCAAUAUCAAGGCAGGCUGGGUGUUUGAUGAAGCUCCCCUUCCUCGUAGAUGGCGCUUUCUCUCUUGAGUCCUCACAGGGGCCCACCUUCCUCACAGAUGGCGCUUUCUCACUGAGUCCUCACGUGGGGCCCGCCUUCCUCAUAGAUGGCGCUUUCUCACUGAGUCCUCACACAAGGCCCCCCUUCCUCAUAGAUGGCGCUUUCUCACUGAGUCCUCACACGAGGCCCGCCUUCCUCAUAGAUGGCGCUUUCUCACUGAGUCCUCACACGAGGCCCACCUUCCUCACAGAUGGCGCUUUCUCACUGAGUCCUCACACGAGGCCCGCCUUCCUCAUAGAUGGCGCUUUCUCACUGAGUCCUCACGUGAGGCCCGCCUUCCUCAUAGAUGGCGCUUUCUCACUGAGUCCUCACACGAGGCCCACCUUCCUCACAGAUGGCGCUUUCUCACUGAGUCCUCACGUGGGGCCCGCCUUCCUCAUAGAUGGCGCUUUCUCACUGAGUCCUCACACAAGGCCCGCCUUCCUCAUAGAUGGCGCUUUCUCACUGAGUCCUCACACGAGGCCCACCUUCCUCACAGAUGGCACUUUCUCACUGAGUCCUCACGUGGGGCCCGCCUUCCUCAUAGAUGGCGCUUUCUCACUGAGUCCUCACGUGAGGCCCGCCUUCCUCAUAGAUGGCGCUUUCUCACUGAGUCCUCACACGAGGCCCACCUUCCUCACAGAUGGCGCUUUCUCACUGAGUCCUCACGUGGGGCCCGCCUUCCUCAUAGAUGGCGCUUUCUCACUGAGUCCUCACACAAGGCCCGCCUUCCUCAUAGAUGGCGCUUUCUCACUGAGUCCUCACACGAGGCCCGCCUUCCUCAUAGAUGGCACUUUCUCACUGAGUCCUCACGUGGUGGAGGGUGCAAGGGGACUCUCUGGGGUCCCUUUUCUAAGGACAAUAAUCACAUUCAUGAGGCUCCAUCCUCAGGACCCCAUCACCUCCCAAAGGCCCCACCUCCUGACACCAUCACUCUUGGGAUCAGGUUUCGGCACAAGCACUUUGGAGAGACACAGACGCUGAGACCACAGCAGACAGGCAGCACCAGUGUAAGGCAGACCAGUUACUGGCCCCGGGAGAAACGGGAGGCAGGGGUGCCCAACCGUUUGGCUUCCCUGGGCCACACUGGAAGAAGAAAGAAGAAAAAUUAUCUUGAGCCACAUGUAAAAUACACUAACACUAACAAUAGCUGAUAAGCUAUAAAAAAAAUCACCAAAGAAAUAUCAUGUUUUAAGAAAGUUUGCAAAUUCCUGUUGGGCACAUUCAAAGCUGUCCUGGGCUGCAUGUGACCCAUGGGCCAUGGGUUGGACAUGCUUGGAAAUGGACGUCAAACAGAAACAGUCUGCACCUCCAGGAAGGAAGGGAGAAUUUGUGCUGAGAACUUUUGAUUUGCUCACACAUCCCAUAGCCAUUGCUUGAGUCCUCGGGUGCUCAGGGACAGAGGGGAGAAAUUCUGUCCACAAGAAACCUGCAUUGUUUGGUGUAGUGUGUCCCGUGUGUCGUGUGCUCCUGGAGUCUGGACGGAGUGUAGGGUGUGGGGCCACUCCCUUGAGGCUGGUUUAUGGAUGAAAGGGGCAGGGAAUGCACAUGUAAAGAAGCCAAGGUGCCGGGUCACAGUGCGCUUGGAAUGUGUGAGGGUCCCUUCUGCAACAGAGUGUAGGAGAGAGAAGAGGACAAGAGGCUGUUCUCAAUGCCACUCUCAGUACUCUGAACUUCAUCCUGCAGGCAGUGGUAAAUGAUUGACAAGCCUUGAGCAGGGACCAACAUCAUCAGAUCUGUGUUUUAUGGAGGUAGCUAUGGAUGAUGGACCAAAAGGGUUUGGGGCCGUAGGCAGACAGACCAGUCCUGCCUCCUUCUGCCCACCCUCCCCCAUGGGCAGACAGGCGAGCAGGGGGCUUUCUGACCCUCCCUCCUUCCGUCAGAUGCUGUCACUAAGUAGAGAGAUGCGAAGUGUCCCCCGUGUCCAGCACUGCACCAGGUGUUGCAGGUGUGACAGUCCCUCCUGCAUGGUUCACUUGCUGCAGAAGGUAAACACCAGCAAACAGAUAACUAUAUGAAAUAGUAGGAAGUUAUAAAAAGAGCAUGGAAGAAAGAGGGAAGAAGGAAGAGAGACAAAUGCUGAGACAGAGAUGAGAUGGUGAGGGCGAAGGGGACCUACGUCUGAUAAGGUGGUUGUAGAAUCAUCUCUGAGGACAAGGUAUCAAGGUAUUUGAACUGAAACCUCAGCAUGGAUGCAGCCACAUUUAUAGUGAUGCAGGCGAAAAAAGGAGGAGGCUCAGAACUGGGGCAUGGAGAUGAGGAUGGAGAGUAGAGAAAGUCUUGGCUUCCUAAGAAAAUCAUCUUUUUUAGAAAUCACCUGUUUCAUCCUGACAUUGGCAUUCCCAGUAUGAACAUUUCUGUAAGAGCAUUUAAAAGUCCCAUUGAAAACAUAGCCGUGAUCUUGGGACCAUGUGUAGGCUCCAAAAUUUAAUUCUUUCCUCCAUUCAGCAAAAACUGACCAUGUGCCGGCCACAUCCUGAGCAUAGUUCUAGGAGCAGGCACACAUACUGCGGUGAGCAAAGUAAGUUCCUAUUACUUGGCUUAUUGAAGAUGUAACUUUAGCCUACGUGGACAAAGAAAUAGACAAUUUCUAAAAACAGAUACAAUACAAAAUGAAGCUUUAAAUAUGAGCACAACACCCUAUUCUGCUUUGACUGGGAGCUGAGAAUGACAGUUGUUAAGCCAGACUUUUUUUAUUGCUACACACGUGAACGGGAGGGCAUCUCAGAGGUGAUGCAGUGCUGACAACCAGGUGUGAUACCCUCACAUGUACAAGCACUGUGCAUUUCAGAGGUGACCUUGUGCUGACAACCAGGUGUGCUGCCCUCACCAUGUAAAAGCACUGGGCAUCUCGGGGUGACCUUGUGUUUACAACCAGAGGUACUCUCCUCACUGUGCAGUUAGGCACUGGGCGUCUUAGAGGUGACUCUGUCCUGAUAACCAGGUGUACUCUCCUCACUGUGCACAGGCUAGGGCUAGACAUGGCAGGGACCCAGGUGUGUGCAAGGUGCAGCGUUUGUGCCAUGGGGAGGACCUGCAGGUCCAUCCACCUCCCUAUUCCAGUCCUCAGAAAUGCACUAGGGCACAGUGGCAGUGGGGCAAAAAGCUCUUUGUGUGCUGUGAUGUGAACCUCAGGGUGACUCCAAACCUUAUCGUGCUCCACGUUCUCUUAGGCUGCUGUCAAUAAAUGUUUGAACAAUUUCUCGUA